RNAcentral lists this ribosomal RNA (253 nucleotides) under uncultured bacterium. Its description in RNAcentral is "partial 16S ribosomal RNA". It matches the Rfam family "Bacterial small subunit ribosomal RNA", at positions 524 to 776 of the family's 1533-position model. The record is from RNAcentral.
UACGAAGGGGGCUAGCGUUGUUCGGAAUUACUGGGCGUAAAGCGCACGUAGGCGGAUACUUAAGUCAGGGGUGAAAUCCCGGGGCUCAACCCCGGAACUGCCUUUGAUACUGGGAAGCUUGAGUCCGGAAGAGGUGAGUGGAACUCCGAGUGUAGAUGUGAAAUUCGUAGAUAUUCGGAAGAACACCAGUGGCGAAGGCGGCUCACUGGUCCGGUACUGACGCUGAGGUGCGAAAGCGUGGGGAGCAAACAGG